RNAcentral lists this ribosomal RNA (886 nucleotides) under uncultured organism. Its description in RNAcentral is "bacterial SSU rRNA". It matches the Rfam family "Bacterial small subunit ribosomal RNA", at positions 603 to 1487 of the family's 1533-position model. The record is from RNAcentral.
CAGAGCUCAACUCUGGUCAGGCGGUGGAAACUGGCAAGCUAGAGUACAGUAGGGGUAGAGGGAAUUCCCAGUGUANCGGUGAAAUGCGUAGAGAUUGGGAAGAACACCGGUGGCGAAAGCGCUCUACUGGGCUGUAACGGACGCUGAGGGACGAAAGCUAGGGUAGCGAAAGGGAUUAGAUACCCCGGUAGUCUUAGCUGUAAACGAUGGAGACUAGGCGUGGCUUGUAUCGACCCGAGCCGUGCCGAAGCCAACGCGUUAAGUCUCCCGCCUGGGGAGUACGCACGCAAGUGUGAAACUCAAAGGAAUUGACGGGGGCCCGCACAAGCGGUGGAGUAUGUGGUUUAAUUCGAUGCAACGCGAAGAACCUUACCAAGGCUUGACAUCCCGCGAAUCCUGGUGAAAGCCGGGAGUGCCUUCGGGAGCGCGGAGACAGGUGGUGCAUGGCUGUCGUCAGCUCGUGUCGUGAGAUGUUGGGUUAAGUCCCGCAACGAGCGCAACCCUUGUCCUUAGUUGCCAGCAUUCAGUUGGGCACUCUAGGGAGACUGCCGGUGACAAACCGGAGGAAGGUGGGGAUGACGUCAAGUCAUCAUGCCCCUUACGUCUUGGGCUACACACGUACUACAAUGGUUGGGACAACGGGCAGCGAAGCGGCAACGCCGAGCGAAUCCCAGCAAACCCAGCCUCAGUUCAGAUCGCAGGCUGCAACUCGCCUGCGUGAAGGAGGAAUCGCUAGUAAUCGCAGGUCAGCAUACUGCGGUGAAUUCGUUCCCGGGCCUUGUACACACCGCCCGUCACACCAUGGAAGUUGGCCAUGCCCGAAGUCGUUACUCCAACCAUUGUGGAGGAGGACGCCGAAGGCAGGGCUGAUGACUGGGGUGAAGUC